Molecule: long non-coding RNA, 3296 nt
Filed under: Acanthaster planci (crown-of-thorns starfish)
Lineage: Eukaryota; Metazoa; Echinodermata; Asteroidea; Valvatida; Acanthasteridae
Description: uncharacterized LOC110985119, transcript variant X3
Source: RNAcentral
UGGAAUUUUCAAGCACUGCAUUGUAUUUUUGAACAUCAUGCAUUUUUUGGUCAAAAUUCUCUACCGUCAUCAAACUUCCGUCAAAUGUGAUGUUCACAAAGAUCAUAUUGUACUCACAGUGUAUUUGCAUGCAACUAGGGACCCCCUAUUGUUCUCUUUUGUUUUUAACUUUUUUAGAAGACCAACCAUAUGUUUAUACACAGUUGUCAAUCGGGAACCCUAUGUGAAUCAGGGACCUUACUGUCCCCAAUUGAAUGCAAGUCCCCAAUUGAAUGCAAAAACAAGCUCACACACGCACACCCAGACUUUGAACUGGUCUGUGGAGGUUAAGUAUGUGUGGAGGAGCCCUCAAGCAUUUGUGUGCUGCAUCCAGGUGCAACAGCAAAUGUCACUGUACUGUGUUAUCUCAGAGUGCAAAAAGAGCAAUGAUCAAUGAUUGUUGUAUUUCUUAUGCUGACAUGUUAGGACACGGACUGUCCUGGUUUUAUCACAUACAUGUAGUCAUAUGGCUUAUACAUGUAGUUCAGAUUCAGCAAUGGGAACAUGUCACAUGUAAUUUUUGUGAGAGGUCAACGAAAGGUUGCAAGACUUCACUUUGCCCGGCCUACAUGCAUUUCUCACUGUUGUGCCCAAAACUGCCCUGAAAUCGGUCCCCUUUUAGUUGCGCGGUAUUAUAUUAACGCUUGCGAAUAGUGACCUCAAUAAUUAUAUCGGAAUGAAGCUUUGGACUUCCCCUUUCAGAUACAUUAAAGAAAGAGGACUGUUGCUGUAGAAAAAAAUGAUGUCAUGACCUUUCAAAGGUCAGACACCGACUAGCUUCUUCAAAAGUUCAUGCAUGCACAUGUAUAGUUGUAUACAUGUGUGAAAGAGUGUGUACAGUACAUGUCGCUGUCUGCAUCAUGGCGACUUUGCAGCUGUCAUCGGAGCCCAUGGGAAGACUAACUUUGCAAGAAGUUCUGCAGGAAAAUGAUGCCAGUGGUUCUGAAAUGGAAGCUUGAGAUGAUCUUCGAAGUGACAUUGACGUUUUACAGAUACUUCAAGAGCUUGAAGAGGAGUAUGGUGCUAAGGAUGCUGCUGAAUCUCUCUAAAGUGCUCCACAUCCUGCGGUUGAUGAUGUAUUCAAGCAGUCUAGAGACGGCGUCCCUUGAAGAUUCAAUGUGAAAUCAUAAAACACCUAAAAAAAAUGGGUGUUGCCCACAAGCGACACAAAUGAUGAUCCACCUGUGGCAGAGGAACAUCCGCCUUGUGAUAACGAGGACCAGUAUUGUAGCAGUGACAGCUACCAGGUGUCCAGUGCUCCAUUCUCGGGUUCAGACAACUCUCUGAUGAAGAGCCAAAAGAGGAUGUGGGAGUUCUGGAUGAGAAGAAGUACCUCAUUUUUCACUCUUGCCUUCUGCAGCUCUUCAAAACAUGCCCCUGAUGUUCAGGCCCCUCAAAGAAGAAAGUAACCCGUCCACUCGGAGGGAUGGCGAUCCAAGUUGUUCAGACGUGUACAGACAAGGCAUGCAGUCAUGUCCACUGUUGCAGAAGCCAGCCAGUGGUGGGCAGUGUGGCCGCUGGGAGCAUUCUGAUUUCAGCCGCCAUUCUGAUGUCUGGUGUCAACAUCAGGAAAUUCAUCAAUGCUCUUGCUUUCAUCAAUGUGGCGAUGAUACCCUACAGCACAUUUUUUAUUCAUCAGCAAAGAUAUCUCCAGCCUGCCAUCAUAGAUGUAUGGUAUGAGCAGCAAGCCUUGAUAUUGUCUGAUUUUGAAAACAGUGGUGUUGGUGCAGAUAUGCGUGCGGACUCCAUGGGUCAUUCAGCUAAAUUUGGCUUCUACAUUAUUUUGGAGUUGAGCCAGGGUAAAGUUCUCCACUUUGAGCACAUGCAGAUCUAUAGAAGAAGUUAAAUAAUAGGCCUACUGGAAAUGCAUCUGGAUGUGGAGAAAUCAGGACUGGAUCCAGGGGAUUACCAACAAUGUCUACUGGUUCACGGCUUCCACCCCUGAUGGAGGUGGUGAUUUGAUGCUGGCCAAAUUCUCCAGUGCAGUCAAUCCUGUGAUGAAUGCCCAUCAUCAUGACAGCCAGCUCUUCCCACAGUGUGCGCACGGAGAACUUCCAGAAUGAAAGUGGAUAAAGCCAGGAUCUACCUAGCUGCCUUGCAUUUAAUGAGAACACUAAGAAAGCAAGCAGUGGACAAGCUAGGCAAUCCAGCCUGUAGCAUCUACUACCCAAGGGCAAAGCAGCCUACUGUAAGGUACAGCAUGAGACAGGUGGUGAUGUGGAGCUCCUAGAAUUUCACCAAGUUCAUAAUUGGCAAGGUUUUGGAUCUUUGUAAACAUGGCCAGGAUAUGAGGAACAACUACCCUGAGCUCAAGGCAAACCCUGUUCCCCUAACAGUGAGAGUAAAAUGCCCAAACAAAGAGGAAGCAGUGACUUCUUUCAUUUCUCACUUUGGUAAGCGUGGAGCUGGUAGGGCGAUGCGAAGGCUGCGAGGAUGUUGUAGUGUCGGCAAAACUUCCAAAGAAAGCCAAGGAAUCCAAGAAGGACAAAGGACAAAAGAAAGGCGAGGACGAAGCCCAUAAGGACAAAAUGCACAAGAAGAAAUCAAAGAAGAAAACAAGGGUUUCUGAAGAGGGAGAAUGCUUGUCUGCUUCAAAAUACAGCCAGACAUAAGACAUGGAAAUGUGGAAACAAACUUCAGUCUCUUAUGCAAUCAAGUGUAUUUUCCAGUUUACUUGAAACAAAUCUUGCAAGAGAAACUUCACCAAACGUACAUGUCAAUUUUUAAAGGAAAGCAUGCUCCGUAUCAAGCUUUAUCAUUACGCUGAUCACUCUUGGCAAUUUUGCACAUGUACAUGUGUGUACAUGUAUUUUUCAACAUUCACAUGAUCUGAAGAUGGAGUUAAUGGGGCCUUGCUUAGAGCUUAUGCAGAACUAAUUUUUGCAAAAUGGGCAAAAAUAUGGUGUACCCUUUAUGAACCUGAAUACAGUAAACAGUUGCUGUACACGCAUGUUUUUCAUUCAAUCUUUCCCAAAAUUAACCCUGCAAGUCCGAAGGAAUUUUAGUGGAAAAUGGCACCCUCAAAAAACUGACCAGCAAAUAAUCAAGAAAAAUUAAUCAUAAAGUUAAACAUAUGUAUUUAAAAGAUGACAUCCAUAUCUGGAUAUUUGAAUCCCUCGUAAUUAUCCUCUGGGUCUGGAAAAGUCGUUCUUGUCAUAAGCAUGAUGCAUAAUGGCAGGGGAACUCAGUUGUACCAUCCAAGAAAUCCCCAGCACCACCAGAUGACUUGUCUGUAAGAUGUGUGUUGGUACUUCCUA